Molecule: non-coding RNA, 29 nt
Filed under: Mus musculus (house mouse)
Lineage: Eukaryota; Metazoa; Chordata; Mammalia; Rodentia; Muridae
Source: RNAcentral
UACAACAAGAUACAUAUUUGUCCCUGCCC